This 163-nucleotide ribosomal RNA is filed under the name uncultured bacterium. RNAcentral describes it as "partial 16S ribosomal RNA". It matches the Rfam family "Bacterial small subunit ribosomal RNA", at positions 355 to 509 of the family's 1533-position model. The record is from RNAcentral.
UGGGGAAUUUUGGACAAUGGGCGCAAGCCUGAUCCACGCAAUGCCGCGUGCAGGAAGAAGGCCUUCGGGUUGUAAACUGCUUUUGUACGGAGCGAAAAGGCUCUCUCUAAUACAGGGGGCUGAUGACGGUACCGUAAGAAUAAGCACCGGCUAACUACGUGCC